This 1375-nucleotide long non-coding RNA is filed under the name Olea europaea subsp. europaea. The record is from RNAcentral. Lineage: Eukaryota; Viridiplantae; Streptophyta; Magnoliopsida; Lamiales; Oleaceae.
CACUCUUUUCCACCCACUGGAAUACCACCAACUGCCAACCAUCACCUCGCCAAAUCCACCACCAUUGCCAGCUUCACCAGCACCAAAACCACUCAAAUCCCCAACACCACUAAAACACAAAUGACCACCACUACUUUAACAACCAAAAAAACACAUCCUCCACCAAUACCCACACUACCGCACCGCCAUCGCCCCAUCACCACCACCACCACCACCACCAUUGCAAAAUCAUAUCCAUCCACACUUAACAAAUCAUAAACACACGUCUGCUUAUGCAAACCUCACUUGGCCACCACCGCUGAAAAAUAAAUCAAAAAUCGCAACACCGUCGAGGGUAGAACCACCAACGAUAGCACCACCACCCACCACUAAUAAAUCACCUCAAUAAACUAUCACAAAAACGACCUCAAAACCACUUGUGAUCACCGUCCACAACUACCUGAACCAUCGCCGCCGCCAUAACCCCAAUCAACACAGCCCAAACACAUAAUACAAACACGCGGCCACCACCACCAAAAUACACCAUCGGUGGAAUGAAGUCGUCGGAGAAGCUGAUUCCUGCCCCUUUCUUUAAUCCCUCCUUAAUUUGUUCAAUUUCUGUACCCAUCUUUCUUUCUCGUUGCCACAACUGGGUUGAUAAUGGAGGGGGGAGAGAGAGAGAGAGAGAGGAAUUUGAUUACGAUAUGAGGAAAGGUGGGGUGGGGGAAGGGUAGAGAAAGAGUGAAGAACAGGUGGCGGCUUGGCUUUUAAGAGAGAGACGGUGAAGAAAUGUUGAUAGAUAUAUUAUCAUUAGAAAUUAAUUAUAUGUCCACUUUCCCUCAUAGUCUCUCUCCAAUCUCUCGGCCUUUCUUUGUCCUAAUUAAUUGAAAUAAAUAUCUGUAAACUGCCCUAAUUCUCCACAUCCUCUCUGAGCCCUAGUUCAGUGGGAUUGUAGAGUCAUUAUGCAAAGGUGCAGAGCCACUCCGACGAGGUGCUAUGAGAUCGUUGAAGAGGAUUAAGGUGGCAUGACAGAUCUGUGGAGUGACUUCCAGCUAGGUGAAGAAUAUUGGCAGUGGUGGCGACGAUGACGGUGGCUGUGGCUUUGGAUCUCUGGUUUUGGAUCUGCCAUAUUUUUGAAAUGAUGUUUAAGAUGGUUUUUGGGUGUGAAGAUUUGAUCGAUUUUUGUUUGUUGGUGGUGGUGGUUUCCAUGGUGUGGUGAUGUUGGGGGUGGUUUUAUUGGUGGUGGUAGUGGAAGAUUGGGUGUGCUGAUGAUGGAUCUAGAGUUGGUGGGAGUGGAUUUGGCGAUGCAUCUGGCGAUGGUGGUGGUGAUGGUUGUAGCGACGACGGUGGUGGUCUACCUGUGGUUGUGGUUGGGGUUGGGGUGAGGUAGGGUAUG